AGAGUUUGAUCAUGGCUCAGGAUGAACGCUAGAUACAGGCUUAACACAUGCAAGUCGAGGGGAAACGACAUCGAAAGCUUGCUUUUGAUGGGCGUCGACCGGCGCACGGGUGAGUAACGCGUAUCCAACCUGCCCAUCACUUGGGGAUAACCUUGCGAAAGUAAGACUAAUACCCAAUGACGUCUCUAGAAGACAUCUGAAAGAGAUUAAAGAUUUAUCGGUGAUGGAUGGGGAUGCGUCUGAUUAGCUUGUUGGCGGGGUAACGGCCCACCAAGGCGACGAUCAGUAGGGGUUCUGAGAGGAAGGUCCCCCANAUUGGAACUGAGACACGGUCCAAACUCCUACGGGAGGCA
Molecule: ribosomal RNA, 353 nt
Filed under: uncultured bacterium
Lineage: Bacteria
Description: bacterial SSU rRNA
Rfam family: Bacterial small subunit ribosomal RNA
Source: RNAcentral